Molecule: ribosomal RNA, 253 nt
Filed under: uncultured bacterium
Lineage: Bacteria
Description: partial 16S ribosomal RNA
Rfam family: Bacterial small subunit ribosomal RNA
Source: RNAcentral
UACAGAGGGGGCAAGCGUUAUUCGGAAUUAUUGGGCGUAAAGGGCGCGUAGGCGGCCUGGCAAGUGGAAGGUGAAAUCCCUCGGCUUAACCGAGGAACUGCCCUCCAAACUGCUUGGCUUGAGACCGGGAGAGGUGAGUGGAAUUCCCAGUGUAGCGGUGAAAUGCGUAGAUAUUGGGAGGAACACCAGUGGCGAAGGCGGCUCACUGGACCGGUACUGACGCUGAGGCGCGAAAGCAUGGGGAGCGAACAGG